Long non-coding RNA from Mizuhopecten yessoensis (Yesso scallop), 371 nucleotides. RefSeq lists it as uncharacterized. NCBI's taxonomy places the organism in Eukaryota, Metazoa, Mollusca, Bivalvia, Pectinida, Pectinidae. The transcript is spliced from 2 exons. The record is from RefSeq and is a predicted model, not a curated record.
UCUGUGAUAUCCUCUCCUUAGUUUGAACAUGAAAUGUCUUUGACGUUGCUGAUGAUAUAACUGUCUCUUUCGCAGGUAUGUGAUGUGACUGACUACACGCGAGUCACUCACCAAAUGACUGCCAACGUAGCCUCAGCACUGUAGAGUCUGCUAUACCGAAGUAGCACAGAUGAACAGCAGUGUGAAUUCUGGCUGGACAGUUGCGAUAACAACUCAUCAUCAUUGGAUUACAAGAGCCCACCAGCAUAACAAGGGUAAAGGCAGAGUGCUACAGAAAAAGAUCUUAAAGGUAUGGAACAGCCUCUCAAAUGAUCUAAGAAGUGUAAAAAAACUGUUCUGCAGUCUGUUGCUAACAUGGGAAAGCAGUAUUU